GGUCAAUCCAAUACCAGCAAUCCUUGCGGAGACUCUGUUGACUCUUACUUACUGUAGACAACAAGGUAGGGGAUCCAUUAAGUACUGUUCUCAAUUGUUGCACCUCUGAAUCAUCAGUCACAUGUGCCCUAUAGAGACAAAGGGGUUAACUUGGUACCCAGACCAGCCUCUUAUUGAGAAAAUGACCAGAUUAGUAAUCAGCCCAAAGGAUGAGCGGCAGUGGCAAGAGCGAAUUCUAAGCUUCAACAGUCACAACUACUGCUGGAGGAAAUUGUGGGCACUAGGUCUACCUAUU
Molecule: unclassified non-coding RNA, 295 nt
Filed under: Hevea brasiliensis (rubber tree)
Lineage: Eukaryota; Viridiplantae; Streptophyta; Magnoliopsida; Malpighiales; Euphorbiaceae
Source: RNAcentral